CCAGCUCCUUUGACCCCUGGAGGUCAGGUAAAUAUGAAGGAGUGGGGUCUGGAUUUCUCCACAAAGGUUAAAGUCAGCAUUUCCUCACCCUCAUGUGCUUCGAAUCAAUGAUUAGCCACUGAUAAGCAGAUGGUGAUGGGCUGUCUCUUUAAAGUGUCCAUGGGUCAACAGAGCGACAGUCCCUACCCCCAGGCCAAGCUCUUGAGACAGAAUAGAAAUGCAGGCAGAAGAGAGUUGAGACCCCUUGAGUCUCAAGGCACUGGCUUCUUGGGGCUCAGAGUAGUGCACACCCAGCAUAGCAUCCCAGCAUCUUAGUGAGCCGAGGUGCAGAAGGAGGGGCUGGGGGUUGGGGGCGCCCUUCCCCGCCCGCUGGGGAAACGCCUUAUUUGGGCAGCUGGGGCUGCCAUUUUCCGGCACCUCCUCUUCUGUAAGGAAAGGAGAAAGACAGCGGAGACAUUUGUCAAGGCGCGGUACUGUCCCAGCUGCAGGGAAUCCCGCGCAGCAUAGAUAUUUCAGCUGUGCCGACUUUACUGACCCAGCGCUGUCCUCGAAGGUGGUAGAUGAGAUGGACCGACAUCCGAGACUGGCCUGUCCACAGGCACCUCCAGUCCGCUUGGUGACACAGAUGCAUAGACAGGACAUUGCUGGUGGGCGCUGAAGAACAAAUGACCUAGAAAAUGUUUGGCAGCUGUCUUUGUUCGCUGGUGUUUAAUGGGAAAUAGCUAAGCAAACGGACACACUGGCCCUGUCGGAGGUAUGGCGCACAUCAUCGCCCAUUGCUCUGCUACCAACUAACUAAAUACAUGGAA
This 809-nucleotide long non-coding RNA is filed under the name Ailuropoda melanoleuca (giant panda). RNAcentral's name for it is "lncRNA (ENSAMEG00000024605.1)". The record is from RNAcentral. Lineage: Eukaryota; Metazoa; Chordata; Mammalia; Carnivora; Ursidae.